This 529-nucleotide long non-coding RNA is filed under the name Malus domestica (apple). RNAcentral's name for it is "long non-coding RNA (MDOM_LNC010395)". The record is from RNAcentral. Lineage: Eukaryota; Viridiplantae; Streptophyta; Magnoliopsida; Rosales; Rosaceae.
UACAAGCAUGAUUCCGCCUUUUAAUUGUUAAUUGCAUGCUAUAGAUGUUGCUUAAAUGAACAUGUUUUUCACAAUAUUUUCUUCAUUUUGACUGCUGAAUACAUGUGAACCCAAUCUUUUACAUACAAAUGUUAAUGAUUAGUGACUGUUUAGAAAAAUGUUAUCAACAUUUGUCAAUUAAAUGAUCAAUUCUAUAUCAUACAACAAAGUUCUUAGUUUUAAUCAUACAAGUGAAAACCAACCUAAAAAUUUAUCUUCAUUUGUUAUUAAUAAGUUUAUAUUUAAGUUUUCUAAUUACAUCGUCAAACACUAUAAUAACAAAAGUUCUUUAAUGUUCUGUUUGUUUUUUCAAUUUUUUUCUUUUGCUACCAAUUAUUUGAAAUGUUGUAUUAUAUAAAUGAACUUGUUGUGUUUUUGUUGUCUCACAAUUGUGUAUAAUUGUGCUUUUAUUUCUUAUUUACUUAACACUAAUGUUUAAGUAUGUACCAAGAAUAUCCCUAUAAAUGAUGUUUGAAAUUGAUCAUAGUAU